UUCCUUUCGUUUUAUCUCAACCAGGGAAAGNCGAUCAUUGAGAAGUUGGAAUGGCUUCCUCAAUCCCAAAUUGGAGGGUUCGUACUUGUUUGGAUACAUCUUAUAUCAUUGCAAUGAAUCAUUUGUUGAGAGAAGAUCAUGUUCUACGAAUUUGUGAGACACCUUUCAGGUGGUGUGUGUACCUACGUGAAAAGGUGGACAUAAACUGUGAGUUAAUUAAGGUGAUGGUAUGUCGGUGGGCCGGGCAUGUUAGCUUUAGGCUGAGUCAUGAACUAGUUCCAUUUACCGUUUUAGAUGUUUUCAUGACGACGGGUUUAGGUAUAGGUGGUUUAGAAGUACCGUUUGAUGAAUGUAUAGAAGGUUUGGUUGGAGAAAUGUUUAACAGAAAAAGCACUUCUUUGAGUGACUUGGUUGAAGUGUUUAAUGUGAUUGUUGUAGACAAAAACACAGACAUUGAU
Molecule: long non-coding RNA, 458 nt
Organism: Vigna radiata var. radiata (mung bean)
Lineage: Eukaryota; Viridiplantae; Streptophyta; Magnoliopsida; Fabales; Fabaceae
Exons: 3
Source: RefSeq, a predicted model, not a curated record